This 542-nucleotide unclassified non-coding RNA is filed under the name Hevea brasiliensis (rubber tree). The record is from RNAcentral. Lineage: Eukaryota; Viridiplantae; Streptophyta; Magnoliopsida; Malpighiales; Euphorbiaceae.
GUCGAUAUGGCGAAUAGAGCCACAUUGAUCGCCAGCGCCUCGAUCAUCAGAUCGGCCCGAAAGACAUGGUCGAUCAGCAGCGCCCGCAUGCCCUCAAAAACGUAGGUCGGCGGCAGCAUCCACGCCACCACCUGAAGCCAGUCCGGCAGGACCNNNNNNNNNNAUACGCAUGACAGCGGCAGCAGCGCGAACAUCAGCGUCCAUGCCAGCCCCUCUGCGCCCAUGCCAUUGCGCAGCACCAGCCCCGACGAGAUCAGACCGAACGACCAGCUCGUGAAGAUCAGGUUGCAGAAGAAUGCCACCAGGGCGAAGCCAAAUCCGAACAGGUUGAAUCCGAAGAAAGCGAUGGCAAGUAUCGUCAUCGGAAUGACUCCGACAGCCAGCCGCACCACGCUCAUCACCAUCAGCGAGAUCAGAUACUCGCUGACCUUGAGUGGGCUCAUCAGCAGAUUACCGAGAUUCUUGGACCACAUCUCUUCGAGGAACGACAUCGAGAAGCCGAGCUGUCCGCGAAACAGAAUAUCCCACAGGAUCACCGCGCC